UAUCAUAAUUUUAUAAUUAAAUAAAUUAUCUGAUAGUCAAGUCGUUGAUUGUAAACAUUCAAACAUAGAGAAGUAUGUCAGAUCGUUGGCACUAACCAUUAAUCCUAAAGGCUCGAGCUGUUCUUAAAACGUACAGAUAUAGCGUCCACGGGUCUCAAUUGUGACUCAGUCCACUCGGCCUCAUGCCAUUUCAAAUAUGAUUCGGCCUAUCCAGCCUCACACCAUUUCGAACGUGACUCGGCGUAACAUGGUCUCCCGCCACAGGGCAGGAUGCUGGCCCAUUUAAGCCAACAAUCCCCCUCCAGCAUCUGCACAUAUUGGCAGCAUGCAGAAAUUGAACCGUGAUCUCUGGCUCUGAUAUCACUUGUCGGAUCGUUAACGCUAAUUAUUAAUUCCAAAAGUUCGAGCUGUUAGGAAUACGCAACCAAUUCACUUUAAGCGUACAGAUACAGAGUCCACGGGUCUUAAUUGUGACUCGGCCCACCCGGCCUCACGCUAUUUCAAAAAUGAUUCGACCUACCCAGCUUCAUGCCAUUUCGAAUGUGACUUGGCCCAACAUGGUCUCAAGCCACAGGACAGGAUGUUGGUCCAUUUAAACUAACAAACUACUAUGUUCAUAUAUAAAUCUUAUAAAACUUCACAUAUUUGGAAAUUUAAUUGACAAAAAUA
This 669-nucleotide long non-coding RNA is filed under the name Ananas comosus (pineapple). RNAcentral's name for it is "long non-coding RNA (ACOM_LNC006471)". The record is from RNAcentral. Lineage: Eukaryota; Viridiplantae; Streptophyta; Magnoliopsida; Poales; Bromeliaceae.